UGAGGAAUAUUGGUCAAUGGGUGCAAGCCUGAACCAGCCAUGCCGCGUGCAGGAUUAAGGCCCUAUGGGUUGUAAACUGCUUUUAUACAGGACGAAACUCUCGAACGUGUUCGGGAUUGACUGUACUGUAAGAAUAAGGAUCGGCUAACUCCGUGCCAGCAGCCGCGGUAAUACGGGGGAUCCAAGCGUUAUCCGGAUUUACUAGGUUUAAAGGGUGCGUAGGCGGGAUAGUAAGUCAGUGGUGAAAUCCUACAGCUUAACUGUAGAAUUGCCUUUGAUACUGCUAUUCUUGAGUUUAGAUGAGGUGGGCGGAAUGUGUCAAGUAGCGGUGAAAUGCUUAGAUAUGACACAGAACUCCAAUUGCGUAGGCAGCUCACUAACUUAAAACUGACGCUGAGGCACGAAAGCGUGGGGAGCAAACAGG
Molecule: ribosomal RNA, 424 nt
Filed under: uncultured bacterium
Lineage: Bacteria
Description: bacterial SSU rRNA
Rfam family: Bacterial small subunit ribosomal RNA
Source: RNAcentral